UUAGUCAUGAUUAAAUGCGCCGGUA
Molecule: non-coding RNA, 25 nt
Filed under: Rattus norvegicus (Norway rat)
Lineage: Eukaryota; Metazoa; Chordata; Mammalia; Rodentia; Muridae
Source: RNAcentral